UACGGGGGGAGCAAGCGUUGUUCGGAUUUACUGGGCGUAAAGGGCGCGUAGGCGGCCACUGCAAGUCGGUUGUGAAAUCUCCGGGCUUAACCCGGAAAGGUCAACCGAUACUGCAGGGCUAGAGUGCGGAAGGGGCAACUGGAAUUCUCGGUGUAGCGGUGAAAUGCGUAGAUAUCGAGAGGAACACCUGCGGCGAAGGCGGGUUGCUGGGCCGACACUGACGCUGAUGCGCGAAAGCCAGGGGAGCGAACGGG
RNAcentral lists this ribosomal RNA (254 nucleotides) under uncultured bacterium. Its description in RNAcentral is "partial 16S ribosomal RNA". It matches the Rfam family "Bacterial small subunit ribosomal RNA", at positions 524 to 776 of the family's 1533-position model. The record is from RNAcentral.